Non-coding RNA from Neurospora tetraspora, 71 nucleotides. The record is from the annotation of a RefSeq genome assembly. Lineage: Eukaryota; Fungi; Ascomycota; Sordariomycetes; Sordariales; Sordariaceae.
AUUCGAUAGGCGCAACGGCUGCGCGCGAGGGUAAAGCCCUUGAGGAGCAGGUUCAACUCCUGCAUCGAUGA